Molecule: ribosomal RNA, 446 nt
Filed under: uncultured bacterium
Lineage: Bacteria
Description: partial 16S ribosomal RNA
Rfam family: Bacterial small subunit ribosomal RNA
Source: RNAcentral
GUAAGGAAUAUUGGUCAAUGGGGGCAACCCUGAACCAGCCAUGCCGCGUGAAGGAUGAAGGCGUUAUGCGUUGUAAACUUCUUUUGUAUGGGAAGAAUGACAGGGAUUUAUCCUUGGAGAGACGGUACCAUACGAAUAAGCACCGGCUAACUCCGUGCCAGCAGCCGCGGUAAUACGGAGGGUGCGAGCGUUGUCCGGAUUUAUUGGGUUUAAAGGGUGCGUAGGCUGGAAGGUCAGUCAGCGGUGAAAAGCUAUCGCUUAACGAUAGUCUUGCCGCAGAUACUUCCGUUCUUGGAUGAGGAGGAGGCCACUGGAACGGAUGGUGUAGCGGUGAAAUGCAUAGAUAUCAUCCAGAACACCGAUUGCGAAGGCAGGUGGCUGUACCUUAAUCGACGCUGAUGCACGAAAGCAUGGGGAGCAAACAGGAUUAGGUACCCCAGUAGUCC